This 336-nucleotide long non-coding RNA is filed under the name Gossypium barbadense (sea-island cotton). Its description in RNAcentral is "long non-coding RNA (GBAR_LNC007099)". Lineage: Eukaryota; Viridiplantae; Streptophyta; Magnoliopsida; Malvales; Malvaceae. The record is from RNAcentral.
AAAAAACCCCCACCUUUCCUCCAAAACACUUCUCUUCCUCCACCGUGAACUAAAAAAUCUUCCACCAAUCACCACCUCUUAUGGCCUCUGCUCCUCCUCUUUUCUCAUCUCCCUCCUCCCAUCACUGCUAUAAGCGUCAUCAUGGUCACUGUCAUUCGCCAUCGCAAGUCCACUUUCUCCUCCACUUUUUCUUUUAUUUUCUUCUCCUACUUCUUUAUUCUCCUCUCCUUAGUAGAGCCUCCAAACUCUGCCACUCCGAACCAUCGUUAAACAUAGCAUCACCAUCAUCAGACUGCCACCGAGCCAUCACCGAACCACCGUCUUUGUCACUGCUGG